GUUACAUCACCAACUAUCGUCUAGCCAAGCAACCCUCUUACACACGCGUGCGUGCAUUGCCCCGUGAUUUCCGUCUUCAUUGCACCUUCCCACACACUCCUUGAACAGAGCUGGUGCGUCCUCCGUGGCAUCUGUGCAUCGCUCCCCCUCCCUCCUUCCUCUCAUCUAUACAUCCGAUACCCGUCCGUCUAAUCUUCAGCCAUGAGCGAGGCACGCCAAAUUCAGUCGAUGAUCGACUUCAUUGAGCGCGAGGCUCAAGAAAAGGCCGAGGAGCUCGAGGCGGCGGCGCAGGAGGAGUAUGACGUGGAGAAGAUGCGCCUGGUCGAAGCGGAGAAGGCGAAGAUACGCGCCAUGGCGGAGAAGAAGCUCAAGCAGGUUGAUGUGGACCGCCGUGUGGCUCGUGCCAACUUCUCGAAGGUGCAGCGCAUGCGCGUCAUGGAGGAGCGAGCGAGGACUAUGGAGAAGCUGCACGAGCAGACGCGCCAGAAGAUUGUGGCUAUGGUCAACAACCCGUCCCAGUACAAGCCGAUGCUGGUGCGUCUCAUCCACCAGUCUCUCAUGUCCAUCCGCACGGACGCUGUCGUACAGUGCCGCAAGGAGGACGAGGCCGAGGUCGCGCGCGAGAUUCCGGAGCUGGAGCGGUGGUACAAGGAGAAGACCGGUGCCACCAUCUCGAUCCAGACGAGCAAGACCUACCUCAACACAGCCGAGGCGUGGGGCGGCGUAGUGGUGAAGUCAACCGACGGCCGCGUCGUGUGCAACAACACGUUGUCCUACCGCACCAAGACGUGCUUCGAUGAGCAGCUGCCCACGGUGCGCUUUCACCUCUUCAACCCCGAGGCGCCACUGUAACGGAGGAGGCUGCAAUGAGCGACCCACGCGAGGGAGACGCAGGAAGUGGGGGCGUGCGCGCGACUUCCAUUCGAUAAAGGGAAAAGUGAAGACUCGAAAAGAUAUAGCGAGGAGAGCGUGGCGGAGACAGGGAUUGGGAGGGCGCACUUGCAGGCAGAGCGCAGGUGAGGAGCGCGCCGGUUUGAGGGAAGGGGUUAGUGAAGAACGGAGGGAGCCUGAAGCCGACGGGAUUGGUUGUGCUUCUCCUGCACCUCCAAACCACUCUGAAGAGCUGUCUGUUCCCUCCCAAUG
Molecule: unclassified non-coding RNA, 1143 nt
Filed under: Leishmania donovani
Lineage: Eukaryota; Euglenozoa; Kinetoplastea; Trypanosomatida; Trypanosomatidae
Description: gene:LdHU3.36.4480(CDS-product:ATP_synthase_putat ive)
Source: RNAcentral